UGUGUGUGUGUUAUUGUACAUAUGUAUACAUAUAUGUACAUAGGCAUGUAAGUUUAUGAUGAGAGAAAAUUUUCCAUUAACCCAUCGGAAUUGCAGCAGCAGUUGUUUGAAGCUUUACGCCAGCGAUGGAAGUCAAAAUAAUUUACCACACGAAUAACGCGCAAAUUUCAUCAUUCAUUUUUGCACGGCGUGCUUUUGGUGCCUCAGAACUUUCCUCGGACAAUAAGAAAGCCCCAGCGGUACCUUUGCAGAGCCUCCAACAGAUUUUUGACGCCAACGAGCCAAUAGUGGUGAAAGGACUCGCUUGUAAGCUAUUUUUAUUCACUCUUCGCUUGGCAGAUGCGCUGCUCCACUACGCUGCGGCAGUUCGUUAUCAUAGCAAGCGAUGAGGCGAGCCCUCCAGCGAACAAAUGGCAACAAAUUGAGACUUGAUGCGCAGUAACUUCUUUAUGCAGCACAUAUCGAUAACCUUCUAAGGUAAUCGAAUAAAUGCAACCUAAUCAAAUCAGCAAGCAACAAUAAUGUGCAAAAACGUUGUAUGUAGAUUCUAAAUUCUUGCCUGAGUAAACACGCCUCCGCCGUACGCUGAACGAUGGGUCAGCAAAAAAGGGGCGUGCCUGAAUUUAUCGCCGCGGUUGAAACAAGUAUGCGGCGAACGUGCUAGAAUUUCAUAGUAAUUAAAGGAAUUUGCCACAAACGCCACAAUGAAACGCAAUCAAGACAAUUGAAUUCAAUAAAACAAAAAUUAAAAAAAGGUAUUUAAAAAAAAAAAUAUUAAUAACAAAUUUAUU
Long non-coding RNA from Rhagoletis pomonella (apple maggot), 791 nucleotides. RefSeq lists it as uncharacterized. NCBI's taxonomy places the organism in Eukaryota, Metazoa, Arthropoda, Insecta, Diptera, Tephritidae. The record is from RefSeq and is a predicted model, not a curated record. The transcript has 4 exons.